Long non-coding RNA from Equus quagga, 3355 nucleotides. RefSeq lists it as uncharacterized. The record is from RefSeq and is a predicted model, not a curated record. Lineage: Eukaryota; Metazoa; Chordata; Mammalia; Perissodactyla; Equidae. The transcript has 3 exons.
AAAAGGAAAGAGUGGUCUGCGCUCAGACGGCACCUUCUCACCGACGCCCCGAGCACCAUGGUUAGGAUCCAGAAGGCACUUUCACAGACCACACGCUGCUGGGAGAGUGUCGGCUUCACUAUCAGGUUAUUUCCACCCCUACCCGGCUAAGUGGCCUCGCGUCUUCACUUGUCAGCCUACAGUCUCCUUCAAGAAAGCAAUCAGAGAAGUCGUCUUCCAACUCGAGUCAGAUCAGUUCUCUCUUCUGCUCAAAGUGCUCGGAUGACUUACAGACUGUGAGAACCAGGCGGGCGGACAUUCUUGCUUGAUUUGUUCACUAGACACUUGCAGAACUGAGGAUAAACUCUCUCCCCAACCCUGUAAGGAUGGCUGUUAUUAUCUUAUUUUAAAGCCUCAGAAACUCCAGAUCAGACUUCUAGGCACAAAGUCAACAACUGGAGAGUGGCAGAGCUGGAAUUCAAGACCACAGUGUUUUCUCAGGGAGGAAGAGAGGAAAGAGGAGGAGGUGGGGGAAGCCCCUCCCAGACUUGACCCUCCCAGUUCCACACUCCCCACCAACAACCCCGACCAGCAUGGCCUCUGCCUUCUACCACGACAUCAGAAAAGUGUGGAAGUGACCGGGUGGAGACAUCCUCUGCCAUUGCUGCUGGUUCCUGCCAACAGCCUCUAGGAGCCCAAGCUGGAAGCCAGGCUGUGACUCUAUUUCUAGGGAAGGAAAUAAAAUAGAGACGCUAAUAAUACAUGAAAAUGUUACAGAGGUAAGCCCAGGAGUCAGAGAGCUUUGAGUCUCUCACAUGAAAGGUUCGUUAUAUAUACUUAAUGCCAAACAUGAAAAAUAACAGGUGUGAUAAGAUAGCAUCAGCUCUGCUGGAAAGGUUCCUGUUUGCCCAACACAAAGUGCCUACAGUUGACGCCGUCACACGUCUCCAUCUCCCUCUGGCAUCAAACACCGCCUGGACAGUGAGUGAGUACUGAGCGUUGAUCACUCAAAGGUGAAAAGUCAGCACAGCCUCCAGAAGGUCAUGCAUGUGCUUGUCCCUUUGUUAACUUAUUUUUGAACAUGGAAUGCAUGCCUUCUGUUUUCUAGGCCCCACACUAGGUCCUGAGGACACAGCGUUGAAUCAGACUAUUACUUUCAGGGCGUUGGCAUUCUACUAGGGAGACCCAAUCACAAUGAGAGCCAUGUGAGCUGGGCUUGAGAGAGAGACAAGCAAACAGCUGAUGGAGCCCAGCUCUGGAAGGCUUGUGGAGAAGGUAACAUUGAAAUCAGUGAGGUUCUCCUUGGAGCACAUGCGUUGGCAGGUCUUGGGAGUGUUAAAUUAGGCCCUGAGCCUACAACCUCCAAAGAGGAAAUGGGUGGCUCCUACACUUCGUGGCCUUGGAAUGGAUCCCUGAGAAGCAAGUGGCCUAGAGGUAACUGUUGUAAACUAGAGGUUAAUGAUUAACUAGAGCCAGAGUGUCUGCUCUGCUCUGUCCUAAGCUCAAGGAAUUCCUAACAACGACAAUAUCCAUUGUUUUUUUAACUAGGAGCCAAGCCCUAUGCUGUGUACUGUUCAUUUGUUAUCUAAUUUAAUUGUUGCACAUAAACAACUAUUUCCCAAAGGAAGAAACUGAGACUCACAGAAGUGAAAGGCUUUAUGCAGAAGCAUCAGAGCCGAAGGCUGUACAAGAAUCCAGGAUAUAGAUCCCAAAAUCCAGGGCAAUUUCCACAAUACAGGGCCCUUCCUCCUUCCACUUAAUGCUGACUUUGCCCGGAGACCUGCUCUUAUUCUUAGCUCUGAAAGCAACGUCCUGGAGAAGUUGGAGCAACGUCUGCUCUAUGGGGCAGAAAGGAGACCAGUAGAAUUUGGUGGUUGGAUUGACUCAGGUUCAAACGUCAGCUCUCAUUAACUCCACUUGCAACCUCAAGGAAUUUGCUUUCCUUUCCUGGAGCCUUAUUUUUCUUCUAGAAUAUGGACAUCAUUGUAUUGUUGUAAAGCUUUAAUGGAAGCAAGUCCAUGAUAUACCCUGACCUUAGCAGAAAGUCAACACAAGUGAGCAGUGCUAUUCUUCUAGAGAACUCUGUGCUAAGCGUUCCUGCCAACAUCCCAUUUUGGGAGACAAGUGAAGAUGGACAAUGACCAUAUGCCAAAGAGUUGUUAUCAUGUCCUUCUCAAGUUAAUAUUUUUGCAGCAAAUAGGGAAAUUAAGCACUACCUUCUAUUAUUCUUGAAAACAAACUUUACACUGAUUUUUACAAAAUUCUCCACACUCUUCCCAGAUAUCUUGCUAAUGGUCAUGGUAGACCUGAAGGGAAUGUGGACAACUGCCCAAUUCUGCCUCCAAAUUAAGCUGAGUUCUUUAUUUCUUGACAGUUUGUCAAUCAUCAAUGAAAACCCUCCACUGCCAAGGUGUUUGGCUCUGAGUAAUUACUGAGAGAAUGUGGUGAUUUCCGGCAUGGGAAAUAUAGCGUGAGUCCCAUUGUAAUUACUAUGGAACCCACAAGGUAUAAUUACCAAACAGGCUGCACAAAUGACAUCUGCUGGCACUGGCAGAUCAGUCUGUGUCCUUGUUGUCAAGCAGCAGCUGUCAAGCCCUUUUAUUGCAUGAACUUGGCCAUCCUAAUUGAUCUGAUUUUUUAAAUUAAACUUUGUUGAAAUGAUUGUAGAUUCGCAUGCGCUUGUAAGAAAUAAUGCAGAGAGAUCUCCAAUGUACCUGAUACCCAGUUUCUCUCGAUGGUAACGUCUUCAAAAACUGUAGUAGAAUAUCACAGCUAGGAUAUCGACAUGGCUACAGUCAAGACACAGAACAUUCCUGCCACCACAAGGAUCCCUCAUGUUGCCCUUUUAGAGCCGCAAUCAUUUUGGCCCCCACCUCCACAUAACCCCUGCCAACCACUGACCUGUUCUCUGUUUCGAUAAUUUUGUCAUUUCAAGGAUGCUAGAUAAAUGGAAUCAAACAGCAUGCAACCUUUGGGAUUGGCUUUUUCACUCAGUAUGACACUUGGAGAUUCAGCCACAUCGUUGCAUGAAUCAAGAGUUCUUUCCUUUUUAUUGCAGGGUAGUAUUCCAUGGUAUGGAUGUACCAUAGUUUGUUUAACCACUUGCCUGUUGAAGGACAACUGGAUUGCUUCCAGUUUGGAGCUGUUAUGAAUAAAGCUGCUAUAGACGUUUGUCUACAGAUUUUUGUGUGAACAUAAAUCUUCAUUUCCCUGGGAAAAAUGCCCAGGAGUGCUGGGUUACAUGGCAAAGAUAUAUUAGAUUGUUUUAAACUGCCAAAUUGUUUUGCACAGUGUCUAUACCAUUUUACAUUCCAACCAGCAAUAUAUGACUGGUCAGUUUCUCCACGUGUUCUGUGUGUAUGCCUUUUAUUCCCUU